GCCAGGGAGUUGGAACAUGGGGCAUGUGUUAGGGCACGAAAGAUGGUGAACUAUGUCUUGGGACUGGGAAGUCAGAGUAAACAGUGAUGGAAGUCCGUAGGGGUCCCGACAUACAAAUUGUUCAUCCAACCUGGAUGUAGACAUAAAAGACUAACGGAACCGUCUGUUAGCUGGCGCUCUUGCAGAUAUAGUUUUAUUUGGUAAAGCGAACGAGUAAAGGUCUUGGGGCUGAAAUGGCCUCAAACUUUAAGUGGGUAAGAAGCCUGGCUUACUGGCGUAGAUCUGGACAUGGCAUGGAAGCGCUUAGUGGGCCACUUUUGGCAAACAGAACUGGUGCUAUGGGAUGCAUGGAAUGCCUGCUUAAGGUGCCUGAUGUGGGUGCUCGUCAGAACCUAGAAUAGGACUUGACAUAGACAGCAGGACAGUGGCCUCGGAAGUUGGAAUCCACUACCGAGUGUGUAACAGCUCACCUGGGAAUUUGCUGGCCCUGAAAAUGGAUGGCGCUGAGCAUCAGGCCCACACCUGGACUUCUUUGUCAGGGGACACAUGGGAGAGACUGGCAGAGAAGGGCUUCAGCCCCUGGAUCCCUCCCUGUAUGCUCUCUGACAAGGAGGGUCUGUGCGUAAGCCUCGACACCUUGGUGCAGCUACAGGAGCAAAUGUUAGUUGUCACAACAGAGACUCAAAUGAGAAUUUCGAAGGCCCAAGUGGAGAAGGGGUCCAUGUGAACAGGAGUUGAACGUGGGUCACUUGGUCCUGAGAGAUGGCUGAGCGCCUUUCUAAGGGGAUGGUGAUAGCUUCCAUUGCCAUUGUUUGAACGAGCCUGAUAACUCUGAUGAAUAAGACACAGAUAACUGCCUGAUGUUUUGAGGAAAAGGUGGUAAGGCUGUAUCGAACAGUUAGGAAUGUUAUAAUACCUUUAUUUAAGUAUUUUGUACCUUUAUUUAAGUACAUAAGCUGCCAAGGAAAGUAGAACCAUUUACU
Molecule: non-coding RNA, 983 nt
Filed under: Loxodonta africana (African savanna elephant)
Lineage: Eukaryota; Metazoa; Chordata; Mammalia; Proboscidea; Elephantidae
Description: Eukaryotic large subunit ribosomal RNA
Rfam family: Eukaryotic large subunit ribosomal RNA
Source: Rfam by way of RNAcentral